GUGACCUUAGUAGUGAACGUAAUAUUCAGAUUGGAUUCCGAAAGAUAUCCGGAUACAGAUAAAGAUAAAAGAUUGGACUCAUAUUUUGACAGUUAAGUUGACAGUAAUAUUUGUGUAAUACUUCUUGUAAACUUUUGUAUAAUAAAUAUUGUUAAAUUUUAUUAUUGAUUUGUGUCUUUUGUUGGCUACAAUUUAAAGGCGAUUUCUGGCCGUAACAGAAAUUGGGGGCUCGUCCGGGAUACUGAAAAUAUCUUAUUCAAAAUUUGUUUAGUAAUUUUUAUUAUAACUAGCCAACAAAAUUCUACAAAAUGGCAUUUGAUGCCGGUAAAUUUUUGAAAACGCCAGACCUGGAGGGGUUUGAUAAUUUAAAGAAAGAGGAAUUAGUGUUGCUUGCUAAACAUCUGAAAUUAGAUUUUAAAGUAUCUAUGAGAAAACAAAUUUAAAAAAAUUUGGUUAUAGACAAAUUAGUUGACGCAGAAAUUUUAGGUGAAGAGGCUCUUGAACUUAAGGUCGAAAAUAUUGACGCCUUUAAAUUAAAACAGC
This 543-nucleotide long non-coding RNA is filed under the name Mytilus galloprovincialis (Mediterranean mussel). The record is from RNAcentral. Lineage: Eukaryota; Metazoa; Mollusca; Bivalvia; Mytilida; Mytilidae.